Molecule: ribosomal RNA, 292 nt
Filed under: uncultured bacterium
Lineage: Bacteria
Description: partial 16S ribosomal RNA
Rfam family: Bacterial small subunit ribosomal RNA
Source: RNAcentral
GUGUCAGCAGCCGCGGUAAUACAGAGGGUGCGAGCGUUGUCCGGAAUCACUGGGCGUAAAGGGCGAGUAGGUGGCUUGUUAAGCGUGUGGUGAAAGCCCGGGGCUCAACCCCGGGUCUGCCGUGCGAACUGGCAAGCUUGAGCAGAGUAGAGGCGGGUGGAAUUUCGGGUGUAGCGGUGGAAUGCGUAGAUAUCCGAAAGAACACCGGUGGCGAAGGCGGCCCGCUGGGCUCUUGCUGACACUGAACCGCGACAGCGUGGGGAGCAAACAGGAUUAGAUACCCUGGUAGUCC